CAGAGCACUCCUACGGGAGGCAGCAGUGGGGAAUCUUAGACAAUGGGGGAAACCCUGAUCUAGCCAUGCCGCGUGAGCGAUGAAGGCCUUAGGGUUGUAAAGCUCUUCAGCUGGGAAGAUAAUGACGGUACCAGCAGAAGAAGCCCCGGCUAACUCCGUGCCAGCAGCCGCGGUAAUACGGAGGGGGCUAGCGUUGUUCGGAAUUACUGGGCGUAAAGCGCACGUAGGCGGAUUGGUAAGUUGGGGGUGAAAUCCCGGGGCUCAACCCCGGAACUGCCUCCAAAACUCCCAGUCUUGAGGUCGAGAGAGGUGAGUGGAAUUCCGAGUGUAGAGGUGAAAUUCGUAGAUAUUCGGAGGAACACCAGUGGCGAAGGCGGCUCACUGGCUCGAUACUGACGCUGAGGUGCGAAAGUGUGGGGAGCAAACAGGAUUAGAUACCCUGGUAG
Molecule: ribosomal RNA, 446 nt
Filed under: uncultured bacterium
Lineage: Bacteria
Description: bacterial SSU rRNA
Rfam family: Bacterial small subunit ribosomal RNA
Source: RNAcentral